UUAGUUCAUAUUUGUAUGGAGUUGGAACGUUUGCCUACCUACGUUUGCCGCUAGGGGCGCUGUUCCAACUACAUACAAAAUUGUGCUA
Molecule: microRNA precursor, 88 nt
Filed under: Bombyx mori (domestic silkworm)
Lineage: Eukaryota; Metazoa; Arthropoda; Insecta; Lepidoptera; Bombycidae
Description: mir-2807 microRNA precursor family
Rfam family: mir-2807 microRNA precursor family
Source: Rfam by way of RNAcentral